RNAcentral lists this ribosomal RNA (274 nucleotides) under uncultured bacterium. RNAcentral's name for it is "partial 16S ribosomal RNA". It matches the Rfam family "Bacterial small subunit ribosomal RNA", at positions 523 to 796 of the family's 1533-position model. The record is from RNAcentral.
AUACGGAGGGUGCAAGCGUUGUUCGGAAUCACUGGGCGUAAAGGGCGCGCAGGCGGUUUGGUAAGUCAGAUGUGAAAGCCCACGGCUCAACCGUGGAAGUGCAUUUGAAACUGUCAGACUUGAGUACUAGAGGGGAAAGUGGAAUUCCCGGUGUAGAGGUGAAAUUCGUAGAUAUCGGGAGGAAUACCGGUGGCGAAGGCGACUUUCUGGCUAGAUGCUGACGCUGAGGCGCGAAAGCGUGGGGAGCAAACAGGAUUAGAAACCCCAGUAGUCC